GACGAACGCUGGCGGCGUGCCUAAUACAUGCAAGUAGAACGCACAGUUUAUACCGUAGCUUGCUACACCAUAGACUGUGAGUUGCGAACGGGUGAGUAACGCGUAGGUAACCUGCCUGGUAGCGGGGGAUAACUAUUGGAAACGAUAGCUAAUACCGCAUAAUAUUAAUUAUUGCAUGAUAAUUAAUUGAAAGGUGCAAUUGCACCACUACCAGAUGGACCUGCGUUGUAUUAGCUGGUAGGUGAGGUAACGGCUCACCUAGGCGACGAUACAUAGCCGACCUGAGAGGGUGAUCGGCCACACUGGGACUGAGACACGGCCCAGACUCCUACGGGAGGCAGCAGUAGGGAAUCUUCGGCAAUGGACGAAAGUCUGACCGAGCAACGCCGCGUGAGUGAAGAAGGUUUUCGGAUCGUAAAGCUCUGUUGUAAGAGAAGAACGGGUGUGAGAGUGGAAAGUUCACACUGUGACGGUAGCUUACCAGAAAGGGACGGCUAACUACGUG
This 505-nucleotide ribosomal RNA is filed under the name uncultured bacterium. Its description in RNAcentral is "partial 16S ribosomal RNA". It matches the Rfam family "Bacterial small subunit ribosomal RNA", at positions 28 to 507 of the family's 1533-position model. The record is from RNAcentral.